This 151-nucleotide non-coding RNA is filed under the name Gorilla gorilla gorilla (western lowland gorilla). The record is from Rfam by way of RNAcentral. Lineage: Eukaryota; Metazoa; Chordata; Mammalia; Primates; Hominidae.
GCCAGGUGUCGUGGCGGGCACCUGUAAUCCCAGCUACUUAGGAGGCUGAGGUGGGAGAAUCACUUGAACCCAGGAGGUGGAGGUUGCAGUGAGUCGUCGAGAUCAUGCCAUUGCACUCAAGCCUGGGUGACAGAGUGAGACUCCAUCUCAA